Molecule: non-coding RNA, 409 nt
Organism: Paramuricea clavata
Lineage: Eukaryota; Metazoa; Cnidaria; Anthozoa; Malacalcyonacea; Plexauridae
Source: the annotation of a GenBank genome assembly
CUUGUGUCAUGGCGACCACUAAAACAAUGUUUUCAAAGAAAUCCUACAAGAAUUGAACAAAUUUAUAACGAAGAAGAAGCUUUAUAAAUAGUAUUUUUUACUAAAAUGGUAAGCUGUGAUAUAAACUUUAACCUACUGACAAUCUGCUUGCAAUAGAAGUAAAUAUUAGUAUGAAAUUUGGGCUAUUUACAUGUGUGUUUUUCUUCUCACAAUACAUGUAUGCCAGAAAUGACAUCAAAAUAAUGUUAAUAAUUUGAUCUAUUUUGCUUAGAUUCUCUCAAGAACAAAGCCUGCAAUGGGCCCAGGCUCAGCUGGGACAAGCAGGGAAAACAAAAAGAAGAAGAAAAUCCCCAAAGUUGAGGAAUUUUUACAAAACCGAGACUUCACUGGUGCUAGAACUUUGCUUGAG